This is a non-coding RNA of Electrophorus electricus (electric eel), 809 nucleotides long. The record is from RefSeq and is a predicted model, not a curated record. NCBI's taxonomy places the organism in Eukaryota, Metazoa, Chordata, Actinopteri, Gymnotiformes, Gymnotidae.
UAUUGCAGUGCCGCCCUUGCGACGACAAGCUUUACCUCUCGCUUCGCUGCUCUCCCCCAGGUGGCCUGGAUGUUAACGAAUUGAACUCUCUAGUCACACGUGGUCACACAUGGACAAUCUUUCUCCACAAGUGAACAGGGACAUGGGACUGACCCCUUCAGUUUACACAGUCGCUAACUGCACAUAGCUAUCCACCUUCCCCAUCAUCUAAUGGGAAUUUAGCAAGAACUAAGUUGAGUGGGUGACAAACAUGUGCCCUAACCCCCAGACCAGUGGUGCUCCCUGGCACUGCUGCCAGAACACACCCUUCUGAGGGACGACACCCAUAUCCCAAUGUGCUCGUCAUCAUUGGUGAGUCUCCAUCACACUGCCCUCUUCUCUGGGGAACACACCCCUUUGCUUCAAAGAUUUCAUGUGACCCUCAGCCAUCGACCGUACAGCUAGGGCGGUCCUAUAACCAUGGGCAUGCUGCCCUCCACAUUUGCUAUGUGGUUACUUAAAACAAAAGCCAAAAAAUAAAAAUGUACUCAUUUUUUGAAGUUGCAGGCCAAGGUGCUCAUUUCUCCUUACAGACUCCUAAGAACACAGUAUUGGCCAGUAAUAUGGCAACACACAACUUCUCACUGCUUGUUGGUACUGUUCUUAACAUGGCAUAUUUUAUGCCCACAAUUAUUAUUAGAGCUUAUUUUAUUUCGGUACUAGAAUACACAACAUUCCACUUUCAAUAAAUAUCCGCCUUUGACCGCAAGACCCUCCAGAGAAUAGUGAGAACAGCUGAGAAGAUCAUUGGGGUCUCUCUUCCCUCCAUC